This 491-nucleotide ribosomal RNA is filed under the name uncultured bacterium. Its description in RNAcentral is "bacterial SSU rRNA". It matches the Rfam family "Bacterial small subunit ribosomal RNA", at positions 36 to 518 of the family's 1533-position model. The record is from RNAcentral.
ACUAGCGGCAGGCUAAUACAUGCAAGUCGAACGGUAACAUAGAGUAGCAAUACUCUGAUGACGAGUGGCGGAUGGGUGCGUAACGCGUAUGUGACCUACCCAUAUUCGGGACAAAACAUCGAGAAAUUGGUGCUAAUAUCCUAUAUGUCUAUGAGCUGCAUGGUUUAUAGAUGAAAGUCGCAAGAUGAAUAUGGAUGGGCAUGCGUGCCAUUAGCUAGUUGGUAAGGUAACGGCUUACCAAGGCGACGAUGGCUAGGGGCUCUGAGAGGAUUACCCCCCACAUUGGAACUGAGACACGGUCCAAACUCCUACGGGAGGCAGCAGUAAGGAAUAUUGGUCAAUGGGCGGAAGCCUGAACCAGCCAUGCCGCGUGCAGGAAGACGGUCCCUAUGGAUUGUAAACUGCCUUUAUACAGGAGUAAUAGCAGAUACGUGUAUCUGUGUGCAAGUACUGUAGGAAUAAGCAUCGGCUAACUCCGUGCCAGCCGCGGC